UAAUAUAUAGUGAUUAGAAGAGUAAUUGUUAGCCGCUCCUGAAGAGAGCCCUUGCUGCUGAGAAAAGGGUGGAUGCUGAUAAUGAAACACAUCUAUGAAUUAAUAAGCUGAACGAGUAAUUUAAUUACUUUACUAAGGUUAUUCGACUAGGAUCGUUAUCCUGUUGAUUAAUUCAACAUGAGAUUUAUUUUGUGAAAAAUAAAUAAAUUGAGGUGGAACCACGAUAAUUCGUCCUCUUA
RNAcentral lists this non-coding RNA (239 nucleotides) under Liquorilactobacillus capillatus. RNAcentral describes it as "Lactobacillus capillatus T-box sequence". It matches the Rfam family "T-box leader". From Rfam's summary of the family: Uncharged tRNA acts as the effector for transcription antitermination of genes in the T-box leader family. T-boxes are found upstream of many aminoacyl-tRNA synthetase genes and some amino acid biosynthetic genes usually in Gram-positive bacteria. The record is from RNAcentral. Lineage: Bacteria; Bacillati; Bacillota; Bacilli; Lactobacillales; Lactobacillaceae.